Molecule: ribosomal RNA, 465 nt
Filed under: uncultured bacterium
Lineage: Bacteria
Description: partial 16S ribosomal RNA
Rfam family: Bacterial small subunit ribosomal RNA
Source: RNAcentral
CCUACGGGGGGCAGCAGUGGGGAAUAUUGCGCAAUGGGCGAAAGCCUGACGCAGCGACGCCGCGUGAGGGAUGAAGGUCUUCGGAUCGUAAACCUCUGUUAGCAGGGAAGAACGUUCACUGUCCUAAUCAGCAGUGAAUUGACGGUACCUGCAAAGGAAGCACCGGCUAACUCCGUGCCAGCAGCCGCGGGAAUACGGAGGGUGCGAGCGUUAAUCGGAAUUAUUGGGCGGAAAGCGCUCGUAGGCGGUAUGUUAAGUCAAGGGGGAAAUCCCCGGGCUCAACGUGGGAACUGCCUUUGAAACUGGCAAACGGGAGUGUGUGAGAGGAAAGCGGAAUGCCAGGUGUAGCGGUGAAAUGCGUAGAGAUAUGGAAGAACAUCAGUGGCGAAGGCGGCUAACUGGAACAUAACUGACGCUGAGGAACGAAAGCGUGGGUAGCAAACAGGAUUAGAUACCCUUGUAGUC